This 253-nucleotide ribosomal RNA is filed under the name uncultured bacterium. RNAcentral describes it as "partial 16S ribosomal RNA". It matches the Rfam family "Bacterial small subunit ribosomal RNA", at positions 524 to 776 of the family's 1533-position model. The record is from RNAcentral.
UACGGAGGGUGCAAGCGUUGUUCGGAAUCACUGGGCGUAAAGCGCGUGUAGGCGGCUUACUAAGUCAGGGGUGAAAUCCUGGAGCUCAACUCCAGAACUGCCUUUGAUACUGGUGAGCUUGAGUCCGGAAGAGGUGAGUGGAACUGCGAGUGUAGAGGUGAAAUUCGUAGAUAUUCGCAAGAACACCAGUGGCGAAGGCGGCUCACUGGUCCGGUACUGACGCUGAGGUGCGAAAGCGUGGGGAGCAAACAGG